This 75-nucleotide transfer RNA is filed under the name Candidatus Woesebacteria bacterium GWA1_42_12. Its description in RNAcentral is "tRNA-Thr". It matches the Rfam family "tRNA". Rfam says of the family: Transfer RNA (tRNA) molecules are approximately 80 nucleotides in length. RNAcentral also lists the same sequence under 2 other names. Lineage: Bacteria; Candidatus Woeseibacteriota. The record is from RNAcentral.
GCCGAGGUGGCUCAGUGGUAGAGCAAGUCAUUGGUAAUGACUAGGUCGGGGGUCCGAUUCCCCCCCUCGGCUCUA